AUUGAACGCUGGCGGCAGGCCUAACACAUGCAAGUCGAGCGGAUGAAGGGAGCUUGCUCCUGGAUUCAGCGGCGGACGGGUGAGUAAUGCCUAGGAAUCUGCCUGGUAGUGGGGGAUAACGUCCGGAAACGGGCGCUAAUACCGCAUACGUCCUGAGGGAGAAAGUGGGGGAUCUUCGGACCUCACGCUAUCAGAUGAGCCAAGGUCGGAUUAGCUAGUUGGUGGGGUAAAGGCCUACCAAGGCGACGAUCCGUAACCGGUCUGAGAGGAUGAUCAGUCACACUGGAACUGAGACACGGUCCAGACUCCUACGGGAGGCAGCAGUGGGGAAUAUUGGACAAUGGGCGAAAGCCUGAUCCAGCCAUGCCGCGUGUGUGAAGAAGGUCUUCGGAUUGUAAAGCACUUUAAGUCGGGAGGAAGGGCAGUAAGUUAAUACCUUGCUGUUUUGACGUUACCAACAGAAUAAGCACCGGCUAACUUCGUG
This 484-nucleotide ribosomal RNA is filed under the name uncultured bacterium. Its description in RNAcentral is "partial 16S ribosomal RNA". It matches the Rfam family "Bacterial small subunit ribosomal RNA", at positions 30 to 507 of the family's 1533-position model. The record is from RNAcentral.